This 407-nucleotide ribosomal RNA is filed under the name uncultured bacterium. RNAcentral describes it as "bacterial SSU rRNA". It matches the Rfam family "Bacterial small subunit ribosomal RNA", at positions 28 to 433 of the family's 1533-position model. The record is from RNAcentral.
GACGAACGCUGGCGGCGUGCCUAAAACAUGCAAGUCGAACGAUCCAGUUUACUGGAUAGUGGCGAACGGCGGAGUAAGACAUAAGCAACGUGCCCUAAAGACCGGGAUAGUCAGUGGAAACGCUGGGUAAUACCGGAUGUGGCCACUCUUUGGCAUCAUUGAGUGAUCAAAUGGUUUUUUCGUCUUUAGGUAGCGGCUUAUGGCCUAUCAGGUAGUUGGUGGGGUAAGUGGCCUACCAAGCCGACGACGGGUAGCGGGUCUGAGAGGAUGAUCCGCCCGAGUGGGACUGAGACACGGCCCACACACCUACGGGUGGCAGCAGUUGGGAAGUCUUUGCACAAUAGGGGGGAAACCCCGUGAUGCAGCGACGCCGCGUGGAGGAUGAAGGAUUUAGGUCUGUAAACUCC